Molecule: ribosomal RNA, 491 nt
Filed under: uncultured bacterium
Lineage: Bacteria
Description: partial 16S ribosomal RNA
Rfam family: Bacterial small subunit ribosomal RNA
Source: RNAcentral
AGUGAACGCUGGCGGUAGGCCUAACACAUGCAAGUCGAACGGCAGCACAGUAAGAGCUUGCUCUUACGGGUGGCGAGUGGCGGACGGGUGAGGAAUACAUCGGAAUCUACUUUUUCGUGGGGGAUAACGUAGGGAAACUUACGCUAAUACCGCAUACGACCUACGGGUGAAAGCAGGGGAUCUUCGGACCUUGCGCGAUUGAAUGAGCCGAUGUCGGAUUAGCUAGUUGGCGGGGUAAAGGCCCACCAAGGCGACGAUCCGUAGCUGGUCUGAGAGGAUGAUCCGCCACACUGGAACUGAGACACGGUCCAGACUCCUACGGGAGGCAGCAGUGGGGAAUAUUGGACAAUGGGCGCAAGCCUGAUCCAGCCAUACCGCGUGGGUGAAGAAGGCCUUCGGGUUGUAAAGCCCUUUUGUUGGGAAAGAAAAGCAGCAGGUUAAUACCCUGCUGUUCUGACGGUACCCAAAGAAUAAGCACCGGCGAACUUCGU